This 467-nucleotide ribosomal RNA is filed under the name uncultured bacterium. RNAcentral describes it as "partial 16S ribosomal RNA". It matches the Rfam family "Bacterial small subunit ribosomal RNA", at positions 28 to 506 of the family's 1533-position model. The record is from RNAcentral.
GACGAACGCUGGCGGCGUGCUUAACACAUUCAAGUCGAACGGAAAGGCCCUGCUUUUGUGGGGUGCUCGAGUGGCGAACGGGUGAGUAACACGUGAGUAACCUGCCCUUGACUUUGGGAUAACUUCAGGAAACUGGGGCUAAUACCGGAUAGGAGCUCCUGCUGCAUGGUGGGGGUUGGAAAGUUUCGGCGGCUGGGGAUGGACUCGCGGCUUAUCAGCUUGUUGGUGGGGUAGUGGCUUACCAAGGCUUUGACGGGUAGCCGGCCUGAGAGGGUGACCGGCCACAUUGGGACUGGGAUACGGCCCAGACGCCGACGGGAGGCAGCAGUGGGGAAUAUUGCACAAGGGGCGGAAGCCUGAUGCAGCAACGCCGCGUGCGGGAUGACGGCCUUCGGGUUGUAAACCGCUUUCGCCUGUGACGAAGCGUGGGUGACGGUAAUGGGUAAAGAAACACCGGCUAACUACGU